Molecule: ribosomal RNA, 497 nt
Filed under: uncultured bacterium
Lineage: Bacteria
Description: partial 16S ribosomal RNA
Rfam family: Bacterial small subunit ribosomal RNA
Source: RNAcentral
AUUGAACGCUGGCGGCAUGCCUUACACAUGCAAGUCGAACGCGAAAGGGGGCAACCCUGAGUAGAGUGGCGCACGGGUGAGCAAUACAUCGGAACAUACCCAGUAGUGGGGGACAACCAGUCGAAAGACUGGCUAAUACCGCAUACGACCUACGGGUGAAAGCGGGGGACCGUAAGGCCUCGCGCUAUUGGAUUGGCCGAUGUCUGAUUAGCUAGUUGGUGAGGUAACGGCUCACCAAGGCGACGAUCAGUAGCUGGUCUGAGAGGAUGAUCAGCCACACUGGGACUGAGACACGGCCCAGACUCCUACGGGAGGCAUCAGUGGGGAAUGUUGGAAAAUGGGGGCAACCCUGAUCCAGCAAUGCCGCGUGAGUGAAGAAGGCCUUCGGGUUGUAAAGCUCUUUCGGCCGGGACGAAAUCGCUCUGGUGAAUAUCCAGGGUGGAUGACGGUACCGGAAUAAGAAGCACCGGCUAACUACGUGCCAGCAGCCGCCGUAA